UACAGGAACAUAAUCAAAGGUGUUUCGUUCAGCGUUCAGGUCUUCAAUGAUGGCAGUAAAAAUUGUUGUCAUGGCACUUGACCACGAUUUUUGUUGCAGUAAGGUACAAUAUCGAGCCAUAGGAGGAAAUCAAAGUCAAUUCUGACUGGAUUUAAUCCCAGAAUAUUAAGGGACGUAACUAAAUAUUACAAAAAAUUUUACUUCAAAUCCUCCCGCAACCUCAUGUUUAGCCCUGGGUCAAUUUGAUUAAGCAAAUCAUUAUCAAAAUUAUUCUAGCCACGACCAUCCCGUUUUUGUAGAAUGUAGGAAUACAUUGUCUAAUGUCCCUUCCCUGUUUAAGAUGAUCUGGUUCAAGUUGAGUGAGAUUAACUGUUGUUUCUGACACUUCGAGCGACCACAUAGGGGCUCUGACGCCAAGUCUAAAGAUGAUUACGACGAUGAUGAUGAAGAUUAUGAAGAAGUUGAAAUUUUAACUAUUCUUUAUGAAAAAAGUAUCGAGGAGAUGAGAGAGAAGGUGCAGUUGUUUGAGUAGACAAAGAAUUAAAAAUGAUGACUAUCCUAUUUUUUUUCUUUAGAUUAAGUAUAUUUAAAAUCAUAUCUAAUGUACCAUUCACUAAGUGUAAUUUCAGAGUCGAUUUGGGUACUAUGUAUAACUGAACAAAUGUCUACAUAAAGACUUUCCUCAUAGCCUCAUCCUGUCAUUAAUUUAGACAUUGUAUAACUAGGACUAAUAUUAAUUUUAAGGGAAAUUUCACUGCGCUGUUUAGCAUUGCCAAGUACAAGCACAAUGAUUGGAUGGCGGGAGGGAAAGUGAUGUUUUUUUAAAGGGGAGACAACUGAUGGGUCGUUGAAGAACUGUGUGACGCCACCUAGUGGCCAUCAUGAUAAGUUAGAGCUAACGCCAUUUUGUAACUUUGUAUCACUGAACUAUUUAUUGUUGCUUAAAGUUAUAUUAAUUAGAUAGUUUAUUGUGAAAAAGGAUAUUUUUAUUUCAUUGAAAAACAUAUAUCACAUUAGUAACAAUCUAACACAACAAUGACAGACGCUGAAUACCUCGAAUUUGAACGACAGAUUGCUGAAAACCGGGCAGCAGAUGAACGACGUCGUAGAUCCCCUGGGGCUUCUGGCCAGCCUGGUCCUUUUCCUCAAGGUGCACCUCAAGCUGGCAGGGGCCGCAGGUCUAGGUCAAGGUCACCACGCAAUAGAGCACGUAG
Octopus bimaculoides (California two-spot octopus) is the source of this 1214-nucleotide long non-coding RNA. Lineage: Eukaryota; Metazoa; Mollusca; Cephalopoda; Octopoda; Octopodidae. The record is from RefSeq and is a predicted model, not a curated record.